UUUGGCGGAGAAAAAGAAAACUCCACUGACCUUGCAAGAGAACUCUCCUGCAGUGGAGUUGUUGUGAGCAACCGCGGGGAUAUAAAAGAAUGCCGACAGCAGACAAAGGGGGGAAAAAAAGAAAAAUCCUGCGCAUAAAAGCGGGACUGAUAAGCUGUGCAGGUUGGCGAUAAGAAACAAAGGCGGUACGUGCCGAAACGCGCCGUGACCGGAGCGAUAAAGGCCGUCGAUAACAGACGCAGGGCUGAAGGUGGCGAAACACAAGCAUCUGCAACAGCGCGAUGGGAAGAAAGAAGCCAUGGAGAACGCCACAAGAUGCAGGGUGAAGAUGGAGGGCUCCAUGCGUCUCUUCUACAGUCGCACCUCGGGCCACGUACGCCGACUCCGCUAUGCUGUUGAACAUGGGGGCAUGGAAAUGGCACGUUCGUUCCUCGUCCCGCACUCUUACGCAAUAAAAUAAGAGAAAACAUCACAAACCAGAAGUUUUAUUCCCAUCAAACAAAAAGAAACUGAUGACCGCUGCUGACUUAACAAAAAAUAUAUCCAGGUGAUUGUUCAUUAUGAAUUUGUCCUGCUCUGUUUUGGUUUUGAACAAGCUUAUAAAAACUCUGGAGAUGACGAUGCAGAGAAUUAUUCUUCACAAAAACAAGAAAAUUACAGACAGCCAUUAGUAUCUUUUUCAUGACACUGCUAUGCAACAACAGAGUAUCUUCAGUCAGAGGCUUCUUCGGUACCAUUGUAAAACAGACUGCUCCAGGAGAUUCUUCCUGCCCACAGCCAUCAAGGUCUACAAUGACUCUUUGAAGAACCUUUGAUAAUAUCAGUUGCAUGUAAUUUCCCUUUUGGUUUAAUAAAGUAUUUUUGAACU
Non-coding RNA from Poecilia reticulata (guppy), 868 nucleotides. The record is from RefSeq and is a predicted model, not a curated record. NCBI's taxonomy places the organism in Eukaryota, Metazoa, Chordata, Actinopteri, Cyprinodontiformes, Poeciliidae.